RNAcentral lists this ribosomal RNA (433 nucleotides) under uncultured bacterium. RNAcentral's name for it is "partial 16S ribosomal RNA". It matches the Rfam family "Bacterial small subunit ribosomal RNA", at positions 29 to 507 of the family's 1533-position model. The record is from RNAcentral.
AACGAACGCUGGCGGCAUGCCUAACACAUGCAAGUCGAACGAGACCUUCGGGUCUAGUGGCGCACGGGUGCGUAACGCGUGGGAACCUGCCCUUAGGUUCGGAAUAACUCCACGAAAGGGGUGCUAAUACCGGAUAAUGUCUUCGGACCAAUGAUUUAUCGCCUUUGGAUGGGCCCGCGUUGGAUUAGCUAGUUGGUAGGGUAAAAGCCUACCAAGGCGACGAUCCAUAGCUGGUCUGAGAGGAUGAUCAGCCACACUGGGAGUGAGACACGGCCCGGACUCCUACGGGAGGCAGCAGUGGGGAAUAUUGGACGAUGGGCGAAUGCCUGAUCCAGCAAUGCCGCGUAAGUGAUGAAGGCCUUAGGGUUGUAAAGCUCUUUUACCCGGGAUGAUAAUGACGGUACCGAAAGAAUAAGCUCCGGCUAACUCCGUG